Long non-coding RNA from Morone saxatilis (striped sea-bass), 680 nucleotides. RefSeq lists it as uncharacterized. Lineage: Eukaryota; Metazoa; Chordata; Actinopteri; Moronidae. The record is from RefSeq and is a predicted model, not a curated record. The transcript is spliced from 3 exons.
CCCUUUUAGUUUUUGACCAGAGAAAACAGAAUAAGACUCAAGCUUUGCAGUUGGGGGAGAAAGAAAAUGUUCAGGCUAAAACUUCCAAGAAGCAGCAGCAACACUGUAUGAGGCAGCAGACACUUAAAAGGCUUCUACCCUGGCCAGCAGCAGCGGCAGGUUUAUGGCAAGACCCGGGGUCUCCUCGUCAGAGUCAUCCCUUGGGGGAUAGAAGCGCUUUGCCUUUGCCACAAAAUCUUCAGCGAUAUCAAGGUCAUCAUGACUGAAUGAAGCCUUGAGAGUCUAUUCUGUGUCCACCCUCCCUCACAUACCGAGGAUCCCAUGCGGGUCUUGUUCCUGGCCUGCAGCAGGCUGUGAAGGACCCGGUCAUCUUCUCUCUCCGAGUGGCUGGGGUCUCCUGGCGUACUCCAUAGGUUGGUCUCCUCAUCACGGCGCUUCUGGACUUCCCGGUUAAAGUACUCCAACGGAUCCUGACUGUGGAGAGACACACACAAGCACCCAGAAGCACAGUUAUGACACAUUAAUACAGUGAUUGUAUAUCAUUUAUCAGCUGUGACACAGAGAAGUCACUUACUGACACUAUAAAAUAUAUUUUUGGUGUCUUAUAUUCUUUUCUAGGUCAUGAGUGUAGCUGAUAAGUGGAUGAUGAGAAAACAUGUAUUAAAGUGGUAUGUGGUGAA